Molecule: ribosomal RNA, 496 nt
Filed under: uncultured bacterium
Lineage: Bacteria
Description: SSU rRNA
Rfam family: Bacterial small subunit ribosomal RNA
Source: RNAcentral
AGAUUGAACGCUGGCGGCGUGCUUAACACAUGCAAGUCGAGCGGUAACGCGGGAGCAAUCCUGGCGACGAGCGGCGAACGGGUGAGUAAUGCUUGGGAAUCUGCCCAUUAGUGGGGAACAACCAGCCGAAAGGUUGGCUAAUACCGCAUACGCCCUACGGGGGAAAGCGGGGGAUCGUAAGACCUCGCGCUAAUGGAUGAGCCCAAGUCGGAUUAGCUUGUUGGUAGGGUAACGGCCUACCAAGGCGACAAUCCGUAGCUGGUCUGAGAGGACGACCAGCCACACUGGGACUGAGACACGGCCCAGACUCCUACGGGAGGCAGCAGUGGGGAAUAUUGGACAAUGGGGGCAACCCUGAUCCAGCGACGCCGCGUGUGUGAAGAAGGCCUGCGGGUUGUAAAGCACUUUUAGUGGGGAUGAAAAGCUCAGGGUUAACACCUCUGGGUCUUGACCUAACCACAGAAAAAGCACCGGCUAACUCUGUGCCAGCAGCCGC